Long non-coding RNA from Sinocyclocheilus grahami, 1916 nucleotides. NCBI's taxonomy places the organism in Eukaryota, Metazoa, Chordata, Actinopteri, Cypriniformes, Cyprinidae. The record is from Ensembl.
AUGCCCAGAGCAGCUGAUGGAUUUUACUGUAUCUCUUCUUUCAUCAGGGCUGGAAUGAUAGGCUGGAUUGUGCAGGGACUGGGAAAAGUGGUUCCACAGCCAGAUGAGAAAUACAAGGGUCACACAGAGCCAGAGGAGGUCACUGAGCUUGCAGUUCCAGUGGUUAAAGUGGAUCCUCCAGUGCAAGAGGUCAAAGGCGUUCGUGAUGCUGAGCCGCUGCCUCAUAUUCCUGUGGUGGAGGUUGUGUCUGAUGAGGACCCAGAUGCUUCUAAUGUGCCCUUCUCUCCCAGAGUAAUAGAAUGGAUUAAGCAUGGUUUUGAGAAGGUAGUUCCACAUUCUCCUGUCCAUCUUCAUCCUCCCGCUGCUACAGAGGCACCCGCCCAGAAGGCUGCUUCUGCUCCUGUGACUCCCUGCAAACAAGAGCCAGCACCUGCAGCUCCUGAGCAACCUAAAGUAGCUGAGGAUUCCAAAGGCACAAAUAUGGUUGGCUGGAUUGUACAGGGGUUCGGACGCAUCAUACCACAACCAGUACUGAAACCAAAAGAGGACAGCUCUGAUGUCGUUCAAAACGGGGAGAAGGCCAUUAAAGCCCCUUAAACAUAAGGAGAAGACGACUGGGAGAGUCAUUACCCCUCCACACAGAGACAGCAAGAGAUGUUCAGAAAGAUACACAUAUAAACAGAAAUUCUCUAGUUCCAUACAGCUACUGUACAUCAGCUUUGAACAUUUGUAGCAGUUCAAAGUGCUUUUCCACGUAAUCUUCCUUGCUGAUUUCUGUUAGCUAUAUUACAGAUUAGCAUGCUGGCUUGUUAAUUGUGAUGAUUGUUUAGUGCUUUGAUGAUUAGGCUACCUCACAGAGACAUGCAGUAAACACACAGUGGCCCAGUCAGAGUUUACAAUGUCAUUUACUGCUUAUUUACUGUCUACAUUUGCACUGUCACCAUCAUUAAACAUUAAACAUUUCCGCCUUCGAUUGGUCAGAUAGUCUAGCCCCAAACUUGUGUGCUGGAUUUCAUAAGCACCACAGAGCCACAGUGUUCACUCUUUUUGAAGAAAUCAACUUACUAAAGUUGUCUAUGAAUGUUAAACCGGGACAGGAGAAAGUAUUUCAACAUAUAAAAAUGUUUCAACUUUAACACUGCUUUUAAUGAUUUCCUUAUUUUCCAGUACAAAUAUAUAAACCUUCUUCAAUCAAGACACAAGCAAAAUAACAUAAUAUAUUAAGUCUUGUUGUCUAAAAAAUAAUUUCUGAUUAAUUUGAGGGAAAAAAAAUCUGCCGAAGGGAUAAGAAAAAUAAAUGUAAUUCAAAAGGAAAACAAGUUUAUUGACAUAUUUUUUCUUGUUUUAAGCAUAAACUUGCUUCAUUUUGAUAAAUUUUUCUGAAACAAGACUUGAUAACUUAUGUCAUUUUGCUUCUUAAAUAUAUGUAUGUUGAGUUAAGAAAGUUUUUUGCAGGGUCAAAAAGCACAGUUAUAUGCAAUAUUGUUGCCAUAAAACAAAAAAGAAAAAGAAAUACCAUAAAUCCCCAUGCCACUAAAUGCGUUUGCCAAUAUCUAUUGCCUGCUAUAAAAAGUUAGUCUAAAUGCUUUGAAAAACAAAAACCAUGAGCUGAUUUGCCAUGCUGAGGAUGUUAGCAAAGCCACUGUGCGUGAUUCAUCAAUAUCAGGCUUCACUACGGCAAGGUGGAACAUUCUUAUGCUAUAUGUAUUGAUGUUAUUUAUGUUUAUGUUUUAUUGUAAAAGGCUAUUGCUUACACAACACAGGCAGCUAUCUUACUUUGUCCGCUGUAUGAAAUCAAUAAUAAAUAAAUGAUUUCAAUAAGCAGAUUGUUUGUGUGGUCAGAGGAGAAAUAUGUAAAUUGCUUGCAAAAUUGUAUGUGGAAGAAGCACUACUGUAUGACUGCAGCUAAAAUAAUU